This 492-nucleotide ribosomal RNA is filed under the name uncultured bacterium. RNAcentral describes it as "partial 16S ribosomal RNA". It matches the Rfam family "Bacterial small subunit ribosomal RNA", at positions 29 to 507 of the family's 1533-position model. The record is from RNAcentral.
AGUGAACGCUGGCGGUAGGCCUAACACAUGCAAGUCGAACGGCAGCACAGUAAGAGCUUGCUCUUACGGGUGGCGAGUGGCGGACGGGUGAGGAAUACAUCGGAAUCUACUUUUUCGUGGGGGAUAACGUAGGGAAACUUACGCUAAUACCGCAUACGACCUACGGGUGAAAGCAGGGGAUCUUCGGACCUUGCGCGAUUGAAUGAGCCGAUGUCGGAUUAGCUAGUUGGCGGGGUAAAGGCCCACCAAGGCGACGAUCCGUAGCUGAUCUGAGAGGAUGAUCAGCCACACUGGAACUGAGACACGGUCCAGACUCCUACGGGAGGCAGCAGUGGGGAAUUUUGGACAAUGGGCGCAAGCCUGAUCCAGCCAUACCGCGUGGGUGAAGAAGGCCUUCGGGUUGUAAAGCCCUUUUGUUGGGAAAGAAAAGCAGCAGGUUAAUACCCCGCUGUUCUGACGGUACCCAAAGAAUAAGCACCGGCUAACUUCGUG